RNAcentral lists this microRNA precursor (130 nucleotides) under Citrus sinensis (sweet orange). RNAcentral describes it as "miR403a stem-loop (csi-MIR403a)". Its record names the gene csi-MIR403a. It matches the Rfam family "MIR403 microRNA precursor family". Lineage: Eukaryota; Viridiplantae; Streptophyta; Magnoliopsida; Sapindales; Rutaceae. The record is from miRBase by way of RNAcentral.
GAGGCAUGUUUCGGGUUUGUGCGUGAAUUUAAUAAAAUAACCGCUUCUUUUAAUCUCGUUCCCCCAUUUUUUGUUAGUAACAAAUUUUUGCCGUCAGUGUUAGAUUCACGCACAAACUCGUGACGUGUCU